GAUGAACGCUGGCGGCGUGCCUAAUACAUGCAGGUCGAGCGAACAGAUGAGGAGCUUGCUCCUCUGACGUUAGCGGCGGACGGGUGAGUAACACGUGGAUAACCUACCUAUAAGACUGGGAUAACUUCGGGAAACCGGAGCUAAUACCGGAUAAUAUAUUGAACCGCAUGGUUCAAUAGUGAAAGACGGUUUUGCUGUCACUUAUAGAUGGAUCCGCGCCGCAUUAGCUAGUUGGUAAGGUAACGGCUUACCAAGGCGACGAUGCGUAGCCGACCUGAGAGGGUGAUCGGCCACACUGGAACUGAGACACGGUCCAGACUCCUACGGGAGGCAGCAGUAGGGAAUCUUCCGCAAUGGGCGAAAGCCUGACGGAGCAACGCCGCGUGAGUGAUGAAGGUCUUCGGAUCGUAAAACUCUGUUAUUAGGGAAGAACAAAUGUGUAAGUAACUAUGCACGUCUUGACGGUACCUAAUCAGAAAGCCACGGCUAACUACGUG
This 497-nucleotide ribosomal RNA is filed under the name uncultured bacterium. Its description in RNAcentral is "partial 16S ribosomal RNA". It matches the Rfam family "Bacterial small subunit ribosomal RNA", at positions 28 to 507 of the family's 1533-position model. The record is from RNAcentral.